UCUUGCCGCUGUCGAGUAGAGUGUGAAAUUGGUGGUUACCGUACGCACCUGAAACGCGUAGAGAACGGCCUUGGAGCUGACUAGAGAGGGCGUUAAGGCUUGAUAUGUCCCCGGACACAUCCUCAUUGAGAAGCUUCCUCAAUAUCAAUAUCAUGUCAUCAUCAUCAACCACCAAGUAGCAAGAGAACUUUGCUACGACAACGAUGAGAUGGAUUCCAUUUUUCGUCACACUUGAAACAAAGGCCUUUAGAACGGCGAUCACGAACUCUGCCGGUGGAAGGUGACGGCGGGUAAGGUG
RNAcentral lists this long non-coding RNA (298 nucleotides) under Lathyrus oleraceus (garden pea). RNAcentral describes it as "Pisum sativum (pea) long non-coding RNA (PSAT_LNC019431)". Lineage: Eukaryota; Viridiplantae; Streptophyta; Magnoliopsida; Fabales; Fabaceae. The record is from RNAcentral.